GUAUUUAUUAUAUAGUUUAUAUAUUUCAGACCAAUAAUAUUUAGACAUGUUUAAUAAAAUUGGCAGGCCGAGCUAGCCCACAGGCUCGUGGUUAUACAGAGCCUUAACCUGCCAACAAACACUUCAAUGAUUCACACAAGGUGGAUAUGGAUAAAAUUAUCCAUUAUUCGUGGAUAAUUGUUAAUGAUCCUUCCGCAGGUUCACCUACGGAAA
RNAcentral lists this unclassified non-coding RNA (213 nucleotides) under uncultured fungus. RNAcentral describes it as "sequence contains ITS1". Lineage: Eukaryota; Fungi. The record is from RNAcentral.